RNAcentral lists this ribosomal RNA (253 nucleotides) under uncultured bacterium. Its description in RNAcentral is "partial 16S ribosomal RNA". It matches the Rfam family "Bacterial small subunit ribosomal RNA", at positions 524 to 776 of the family's 1533-position model. The record is from RNAcentral.
UACGUAGGGCGCAAGCGUUGUCCGGAAUGAUCGGGCGUAAAGAGCUCGUAGGCGGUUUGUUGCGUCUGCCGUGAAAUCCCGAGGCUUAACCUCGGGCCUGCGGUGGAUACGGGCAGACUAGAGGUAGGUAGGGGAGAAUGGAAUUCCCGGUGUAGCGGUGAAAUGCGCAGAUAUCGGGAGGAACACCGGUGGCGAAGGCGGUUCUCUGGGCCUUACCUGACGCUGAGGAGCGAAAGCGUGGGGAGCGAACAGG